RNAcentral lists this ribosomal RNA (112 nucleotides) under Caerostris darwini. The record is from RNAcentral. Lineage: Eukaryota; Metazoa; Arthropoda; Arachnida; Araneae; Araneidae.
AACGGCUAUACCAUGCUGAAUAUACCGGUUCUUGUUCGAUCACCGAAGUCAAGCAUCAUCGGGCGUGGUCAGUACUUGGGAGGGUGACCCCCUGGGAACACCGCGUGCCGUU